GCUUUGCCCUUCAUUUCACCUCCUUUCUCUUUCCAUCCCUCUUUCUUUCUCUCUUUCUAUCUCUCUCUCUCUUUCUCUGUAUGUGUGUGUGUUUCGAAUUGAGUAUAUAUGUGUGUGUAUACUUAUAUGUAUGUGUUUGUGCAUGUGUCUGUGUGUAUAUCUGCCUUCCCACCCUCGCCAUUUUAACUCCUGUUUCUCCAUUCCCUCCUUCCCCUCUCAUUCACCUCUUUAUCUCUUUCUCUUUCCCCCUCCCUCCCUCUCACUCUGUCUAUUACUCAUUCGUUCAUUCCAUUCCUAUUCGGCUUGAUAUGAAGAGUUCUGGCAGCUAAUGCUCUCAUCACAGACAUCCAGAAACUGCUACUCUAGAUUUCCAGAGACCAGCCCACGUGAGCUUGAAAUAUGUGAAGGAUGGCAAAACUGGAAGAUUUCUCGAAAAUUCAAAGAAUUGUUACCUGGUUAAAAUCUGAGGCGGCUGCGGAGUGAACCAGUUCUUUUGAUUUGAAAAAUGUAUCACAAUCGCAACCACAUGAUAUUUUAAACAUGGCGUUUGUUCUUUGCUCUACAUGAUCAUGAGUCAAAAGGAGAGAUUUGGUGUUACCCUCAACAGCAUCGUCAAUAGAAAUCGCAGCAUCCCCAUCGUUUCUAUUCCAUCCAUCCUCAAGAAUUCCUGCAGACCGUCUGACCAAUGUCCAGCUUGCUGUCUAGAUACGAUGUCUGACCUAUCCUGGUUGAAGAUUUACAGAAAUUAAUCUUAAGUGAUUCUUGGAUUAUCUUUAGUUUUAUUAUAAUUAUUAGAUGAAUUACGGUGACGAAAUGGCAGAAUCGUUAGCGAGUCGAACGAAAUGCUCAACAGCAUUUCGUCCGUCUUGAAGUUCGGAGUUCAAAUCCUGUUGACGUCAACUUUGUCUUUCAUCUUUUCGGGGUUGAUAAAAUUAUAGUACCUGUAAAGUACUAGGGUUGAUGUAAUCGGCAUGGCCCCUCCCCUUAAACUAACUGGCCUUGUGCCAAGUUUAGAAGCAUAAUUAAAUGAAAUGGCAAAAUCGUUAUAGCAUCGGAUUAAUGUACUUAAAGUAUCCAGUUAUGGUUAUUCACGUUGUGGUUUCGAAUCCAGCACUAGUCGAUUCAGCCUUUCGCCUUUCCUCUCUGCAAAAUAAUAAUAAUAAUAAUAAUAAUAAUAAUGACAGCAACAGCAACAACAAUAAUAAUCUGGCACUGCUCCUAUGAAAUUUUUACAGGUAAUAUCUUUGCCGAAUCGGUAGAGCACCAAACAAAAUCUCCUUUGGGGUUUUUAGAUACAACCGUGUACGUUCUGAGUUCAAUUCUUGCCGUUGUUAGUUUUUCCUUUCCUUCUGCGGUCGAUUAUAUAAAAAGUGGAGGCGCAAUGGCCCAGUGGUUAGGGCAGCGGACUCGCGGUAAGAGGAUCGCGGUUUCGAUUCCCAGGCCGGGUGUUGUGCAUGUUUAUUGAGCGAAAACACCUUAAACCUCCACGAGGCUCCGGCAGGGGAUGGUGGCGAACCCUGCUGUACUCUUUCACCACAACUUUCUCUCACUCUUUCUUCCUGUUUCUGUUGUGCCUGUAAUUCAAAGGGUCAGCCUUGUCACACUCUGUGUCACGCUGAAUCUCCUCCUGAAACUACGUUAAGGGUACACGUGUCUGUGGAGAGCUCAGCCACUUGCACGUUAAUUUCACGAGCAGGCUGUUCCGUUGAUCGGAUCACUGGAACCCUCGUCGUCGUAACCGACGGAGUGCCACGUUAUAUAAAGUAUUUGACAAGUACGAGGAAAUAUAAUCGUCAGGAAUUAUUAUGUUAUGAAGGCGGUGGAUUGAAAUAUAAGAAAUAUUGUCUUGUAAUGGAUAUUCCAGUCUUUUUAAGCCGUCUGGCCAAAUUCCACCAAGGUCUACUUUGCCUCUCAUCUCUCCUCGGUAAAUAAACUAUGAACGCGGUCUUGUAAAUGCAUAGGAAAUUGCGCAUUGAAAUUGUGGAUUAUACUCUCUUGCUCCACCGAUCAGGUGUGUGUGUGUGUGUAUGAGGGAGAGAGAGAGAUCAGUUCUAAACUGCUUCAGGACAACACACGACUCACUGAAGAUAAUGAAUGCUGAACUGUUGGGACAGGGUUCAUGGGGCAAAUUCGUCUCAGUCUGCAGUGUAGGGACUUAUCUGUGUCCCCUUUUACUUUGCGUGGUGGUGUUGGUGGAGUGUCAAUAUAUGGAACGGAAGGAAACUGAUGAUGGUGUGCAGAGGUAAUAAGUGGUUCAAAGGUGAGUUUAUAGAAGAGUUUCAGUGUAAUUUUCAUGAUCGAAGAAUAUUAGCCUUGGUCUGGCAACGAGGAAGAUAGAGGAGAGAGAGGGGGAAGAGAGAAUGAAAGAGAGAUGGCGAAAGAGAGAAAGAGAAAAAAAAAGCGGUGCUAUCGUUUUGGUUUGUACUUUUUGUUCAUCGCCAUCUCAACUAAGACUAUUUGCACGCCACAAAUUAUUGAUUCGACUCCCAGCAU
Octopus bimaculoides (California two-spot octopus) is the source of this 2493-nucleotide long non-coding RNA. RefSeq lists it as uncharacterized. The record is from RefSeq and is a predicted model, not a curated record. Lineage: Eukaryota; Metazoa; Mollusca; Cephalopoda; Octopoda; Octopodidae.